CACAUCGCUUGACGAGUGGCGGACGGGUGAGUAAUGCUUGGGAACUUGCCUUUGCGAGGGGGAUAACAGUUGGAAACGACUGCUAAUACCGCAUAAUGUCUUCGGACCAAACGGGGCUUAGGCUCCGGCGCAAAGAGAGGCCCAAGUGAGAUUAGCUAGUUGGUAGGGUAACGGCUUACCAAGGCGACGAUCUCUAGCUGUUCUGAGAGGAAGAUCAGCCACACUGGGACUGAGACACGGCCCAGACUCCUACGGGAGGCAGCAGUGGGGAAUAUUGCACAAUGGGGGAAACCCUGAUGCAGCCAUGCCGCGUGUGUGAAGAAGGCCUUCGGGUCGUAAAGCACUUUCAGUUGUGAGGAAAAGUUGGUAGUUAAUACCUGCUAGCCGUGACGUUAACAACAGAAGAAGCACCGGCUAACUCCGUGCCAGCAGCCGCGGUAAUACGGAGGGUGCGAGCGUUAAUCGGAAUUACUGGGCGUAAAGCGCACGCAGGCGGUUUGUUAAGCUAGAUGUGAAAGCCCCGGGCUCAACCUGGGAUGGUCAUUUAGAACUGGCAGACUANAGUCUUGGAGAGGGGAGUGGAAUUCCAGGUGUAGCGGUGAAAUGCGUANAUAUCUGGAGGAACAUCAGUGGCGAAGGCGACUCCCUGGCCAAAGACUGACGCUCAUGUGCGAAAGUGUGGGUAGCGAACAGGAUUAGAUACCCUGGUAG
Molecule: ribosomal RNA, 711 nt
Filed under: uncultured Alteromonas sp.
Lineage: Bacteria; Pseudomonadati; Pseudomonadota; Gammaproteobacteria; Alteromonadales; Alteromonadaceae
Description: bacterial SSU rRNA
Rfam family: Bacterial small subunit ribosomal RNA
Source: RNAcentral